RNAcentral lists this ribosomal RNA (492 nucleotides) under uncultured bacterium. RNAcentral's name for it is "partial 16S ribosomal RNA". It matches the Rfam family "Bacterial small subunit ribosomal RNA", at positions 29 to 507 of the family's 1533-position model. The record is from RNAcentral.
AGUGAACGCUGGCGGUAGGCCUAACACAUGCAAGUCGAACGGCAGCACAGUAAGAGCUUGCUCUUACGGGUGGCGAGUGGCGGACGGGUGAGGAAUACAUCGGAAUCUACUUUUUCGUGGGGGAUAACGUAGGGAAACUUACGCUAAUACCGCAUACGACCUACGGGUGAAAGCAGGGGAUCUUCGGACCUUGCGCGAUUGAAUGAGCCGAUGUCGGAUUAGCUAGUUGGCGGGGUAAAGGCCCACCAAGGCGACGAUCCGUAGCUGGUCUGAGAGGAUGAUCAGCCACACUGGAACUGAGACACGGUCCAGACUCCUACGGGAGGCAGCAGUGGGGAAUAUUGGACAAUGGGCGCAAGCCUGAUCCAGCCGUACCGCGUGGGUGAAGAAGGCCUUCGGGUUGUAAAGCCCUUUUGUUGGGAAAGAGAAGCAGCAGGUUAAUACCCCGCUGUUCUGACGGUACCCAAAGAAUAAGCACCGGCUAACUUCGUG